CUAGAGUUUGAUCCUGGCUCAGAGUGAACGCUGGCGGCAGGCUUAACACAUGCAAGCCCAGCGGCAGCGCGGGGGCAACCCUGGCGGCGAGCGGCGGACGGGUGAGGAAUGCGUCNGAAUCUGCCUCUUUGUGGGGGAUAACGUAGGGAGACUUACGCUAUACCNCUUACNNCCUUCGGGUGAAAGUGGGGGACCGCAAGCGCUUACGAGUAGGGAUGACCCGACGNCUGAUUAGGCCCUGUGCGGGNUAAAGGCCCCCGAAGGCGACGUCCCGUACUGGNUGUGAGACGAUGUAUGGCACGCUUGAGAUGAGACCGGGCCAGAUGCCUACGGAAGUGCACGNUGAGGAUCUUUGGACAGUGUGGUCGAGCGUGAUCCCUCGCAGAGCUAAGGAGCGUGUCCACGUUGGGGAUAGGGGUGUGAGUGAGCUGGGGGAGGGGGCCCGCACGGUGGCUUGGUCUGGCGUGUUGAAGGUGUGGAUUGAAGCGGACAAGAGGGAGAGAAGAGAGAGAGAGGAAAGGAGGAAAAAAGAGAGGGGGAAAAGGGGGUGAGUUUGUGAUUAUUGGGUGAGUGGUGUAAGGGUGUAGGGUUGAUAGUGGUAAAUGUGAGAGGAGAUUGAGGAUAGGAAGGGUUAUGUUUAAUUAUUGGGAUUGGGUGAUGUUUGAAUGAUGAGUAGAGAGAGAGUGUGUGUUUGGAGACGGUGGAUUGUUGGGGUGGGUAGUGUGUUAUAUAUAUGUGAAUUGGUGCGCGUGUCAUGAGUAUAAUUGGCUGUGCGGGCGCCUUGUGGGUGAGUGUGUGGCCGUGAUUGAUUGGGUGGG
Molecule: ribosomal RNA, 818 nt
Filed under: uncultured Sphingobacteriales bacterium
Lineage: Bacteria; Pseudomonadati; Bacteroidota; Sphingobacteriia; Sphingobacteriales
Description: partial 16S ribosomal RNA
Rfam family: Bacterial small subunit ribosomal RNA (bases 4-402)
Source: RNAcentral